CCUGGCUCACGCCGGUYUAAACUCAGAUCAUGUAAAAUUUUAAAGGUCGAACAGACCUAAUUUAUUAGCUUCUACACCAAUAAUUUCUUUUAAUCCAACAUCGAGGUCGCAAUCUUUUUUUUUAAUUUGAACUCUAAAAAAAAAUUACGCUGUUAUCCCUAAGGUAAUUUUAUCUUAUAAUCUUAAACUAAGGAUCAAUUAUUCAUAAAUAAAUGGUCUUAUACAAAAAAAGUUUAUCUAAUUUUUCAAUCACCC
RNAcentral lists this ribosomal RNA (255 nucleotides) under Thyestetha nitida. RNAcentral describes it as "partial 16S ribosomal RNA". The record is from RNAcentral. Lineage: Eukaryota; Metazoa; Arthropoda; Insecta; Coleoptera; Curculionidae.